AGUGAACGCUGGCGGCAGGCCUAAUACAUGCAAGUCGAACGGCAGCACAGCAGAGCUUGCUCUGUGGGUGGCGAGUGGCGGACGGGUGAGGAAUACAUGGGAAUCUGCCCAGUCGUGGGGGAUAACGUAUGGAAACGUACGCUAAUACCGCAUGCGCCCUACGGGGGAAAGUCGGGGACCGCAAGGCCUGACGCGAUUGGAUGAGCCCAUGUUCGAUUAGCUAGUUGGCGGGGUAAAGGCCCACCAAGGCGACGAUCGAUAGCUGGUCUGAGAGGAUGAUCAGCCACACUGGAACUGAGACACGGUCCAGACUCCUACGGGAGGCAGCAGUAGGGAAUAUUGGACAAUGGGGGCAACCCUGAUCCAGCCAUGCCGCGUGAGUGAAGAAGGCCCUCGGGUUGUAAAGCUCUUUUGUUGGGGAAGAAACCGGCCGGGUUAAUACCCUGGUUGAAUGACGGUACCCAAAGAAUAAGCACCGGCUAACUUCGUGCCAGC
RNAcentral lists this ribosomal RNA (495 nucleotides) under uncultured bacterium. RNAcentral describes it as "bacterial SSU rRNA". It matches the Rfam family "Bacterial small subunit ribosomal RNA", at positions 29 to 512 of the family's 1533-position model. The record is from RNAcentral.